Gymnodraco acuticeps is the source of this 464-nucleotide long non-coding RNA. RefSeq lists it as uncharacterized. Lineage: Eukaryota; Metazoa; Chordata; Actinopteri; Perciformes; Bathydraconidae. The record is from RefSeq and is a predicted model, not a curated record. The transcript has 3 exons.
AAGCGGCAGGCUCAGCCCCGAGGAGCAAAAGAGAAAAGGGGUUCAAGAUGUAGCUACAUAUACAGCUACGUCGACAAUUAUGAAGGGUGUGAAACCAGGCAGAGUGAGUGACAUAGUGUUCAUUUCCACUAUGCCAAAGCAGUUUACAGUUGCUGACGAUGUAAGGAGUACACGUUACAAGGCCGUGCGGGGGGAGCUGCCAGACCCAGAUGUCCUCCAAGUCAGCGAAGUAUACAAGGACUUCUCAGCAGACAUCGCACCACGAAAAAAAACGAAUGGCUCACUACUCAACUCAACGACUAACACUCUUUCAGAGGAUAUUCUUCAGAUUAUGGACUAUUGUUGUUGUCUACCAAAAUGCACAUAAAUCAGAUCUUGCUCCACUCAACAUAGCCUACAACAGAUUAUGCAGAUUUGUUCUUGGUUGUCCUUUUCGUACACAUCACUGCACAAUGUAUAACCAA